CGGGACGGGUGAGUAACGCGUGGGUAACCUGCCUCAUACAGGGGGAUAACAGUUGGAAACGACUGCUAAUACCGCAUAAGCGCACAGGAUUGCAUGAUCCAGUGUGAAAAACUCCGGUGGUAUGAGAUGGACCCGCGUCUGAUUAGCCAGUUGGCGGGGUAACGGCCCACCAAAGCAACGAUCAGUAGCCGACCUGAGAGGGUGACCGGCCACAUUGGGACUGAGACACGGCCCAA
Molecule: ribosomal RNA, 236 nt
Filed under: uncultured bacterium
Lineage: Bacteria
Description: partial 16S ribosomal RNA
Rfam family: Bacterial small subunit ribosomal RNA
Source: RNAcentral